UAACCCAAAGUAAAGACUACAGCACUCC
This 28-nucleotide non-coding RNA is filed under the name Mus musculus (house mouse). Lineage: Eukaryota; Metazoa; Chordata; Mammalia; Rodentia; Muridae. The record is from RNAcentral.